GUCCACGCCCUAAACGAUGCGAACUGGAUGUUGGUCUCAACUCGGAGAUCAGUACCGGAGCUAACGCGUGAAGUUGACCGCCUGGGGAGUACGGCCGCAAGGUUAAAACUCAAAGGAAUUGACGGGGACCCGCACAAGCGGUGGAUGAUGUGGAUUAAUUCGAUGCAACGCGAAAAACCUUACCUACCCUUGACAUGUCAGGAACUUGCCAGAGAUGGCUUGGUGCUCGAAAGAGAACCUGAACACAGGUGCUGCAUGGCUGUCGU
RNAcentral lists this ribosomal RNA (266 nucleotides) under uncultured bacterium. Its description in RNAcentral is "partial 16S ribosomal RNA". It matches the Rfam family "Bacterial small subunit ribosomal RNA", at positions 793 to 1055 of the family's 1533-position model. The record is from RNAcentral.